AGAGAUGCUUUGGUGCCUUCGGGAACUCUGAGACAGGUGCUGCAUGGCUGUCGUCAGCUCGUGUUGUGAAAUGUUGGGUUAAGUCCCGCAACGAGCGCAACCCUUAUCCUUUGUUGCCAGCGGUUAGGCCGGGAACUCAAAGGAGACUGCCAGUGAUAAACUGGAGGAAGGUGGGGAUGACGUCAAGUCAUCAUGGCCCUUACGAGUAGGGCUACACACGUGCUACAAUGGCGCAUACAAAGAGAAGCGACCUCGCGAGAGCAAGCGGACCUCAUAAAGUGCGUCGUAGUCCGGAUUGGAGUCUGCAACUCGACUCCAUGAAGUCGGAAUCGCUAGUAAUCGUAGAUCAGAAUGCUACGGUGAAUACGUUCCCGGG
RNAcentral lists this ribosomal RNA (376 nucleotides) under Enterobacter sp. ARE23_A. RNAcentral's name for it is "bacterial SSU rRNA". It matches the Rfam family "Bacterial small subunit ribosomal RNA", at positions 1002 to 1378 of the family's 1533-position model. The record is from RNAcentral. Lineage: Bacteria; Pseudomonadati; Pseudomonadota; Gammaproteobacteria; Enterobacterales; Enterobacteriaceae.